UUUUGUAUAAUGGGUCAGCGACUUAUAUUCAGUAGCGAGGUUAACCGUAUAGGGGAGCCGUAGAGAAAUCGAGUCUUAAUAGGGCGUUAGUWGCUGGGUAUAGACCCGAAACCAGGCGAUCUAUCCAUGAGCAGGUUGAAGGUUGGGUAACACUAACUGGAGGACCGAACCCACUGUCGUUGAAAAGCCAGGGGAUGACUUGUGGAUAGGGGUGAAAGGCUAAUCAAGCCUGGUGAUAGCUGGUUCUCCCCGAAAGCUAUUUAGGUAGCGCCUCGGACGAAUACCAUAGGGGGUAGAGCACUGUUUCGGCUAGGGGGUCAUCCCGACUUACCAAACCGAUGCAAACUCCGAAUACCUAUGAGUACUAUCCGGGAGACAGACUGCGGGUGCUAACGUCCGUAGUCAAGAGGAAAACAAUCCAGACCGCCAGCUAAGGCCCCAAAAUCAUAGUUAAGUGGGAAACGAUGUGGGAAGGCAUAGACAGCUAGGAGGUUGGCUUAGAAGCAGCCACCCUUUAAAGAAAGCGUAAUAGCUCACUAGUCGAGUCGGCCUGCGCGGAAGAUGUAACGGGGCUAAAACUAUGUGCCGAAGCUGCGGAUGUAUACUUUGUAUACGUGGUAGGGGAGCGUUCUGUAAGCCGAUGAAGGUGUGUUGAGAAGCAUGCUGGAGGUAUCAGAAGUGCGAAUGCUGACGUGAGUAACGACAAAACGGGUGAAAAACCCGUUCGCCGAAAGACCAAGGGUUCCAGUCCAACGUUAAUCGGGGCUGGGUGAGUCGACCCCUAAGGCGAGGCCGAAAGGCGUAGUCGAUGGGAAAAUGGUUAAUAUUCCAUUACUUCUGUGUAAUGCGAUGAGAGGACGGAGAAGGCUAAAUCAGCCUGGCGUUGGUUGUCCAGGUGAAAGGAUGUAGGCAUGUAUCUUAGGCAAAUCCGGGGUACUCUAUGCUGAGAUCUGAUAGCAAGCUGUACUUGUACAGCGAAGUGGUUGAUGCCAUGCUUCCAGGAAAAGUCUCUAAGCUUCAGUUACACAGGAAUCGUACCCGAAACCGACACAGGUGGUCAGGUCGAGUAGACCAAGGCGCUUGAGAGAACUCUGCUGAAGGAACUAGGCAAAAUGGUACCGUAACUUCGGGAGAAGGUACGCUGUUGUUGGUGAUGGAACUCGCUUCCUGAGCUGACGACAGCCGCAGAAACCAGGCCGCUGCAACUGUUUAUUAAAAACAUAGCACUCUGCAAACACGAAAGUGGACGUAUAGGGUGUGAUGCCUGCCCGGUGCUGGAAGGUUAAUUGAUGGGGUUAGCGUAAGCGAAGCUCUUGAUCGAAGCCCCAGUAAACGGCGGCCGUAACUAUAACGGUCCUAAGGUAGCGAAAUUCCUUGUCGGGUAAGUUCCGACCUGCACGAAUGGCAUAAUGAUGGCGGCGCUGUCUCCAGCAGAGGCUCAGUGAAAUCGAAAUCGCUGUGAAGAUGCAGUGUACCCGCGGCUAGACGGAAAGACCCCGUGAACCUUUACUGCAGCUUGACACUGAACUUUGACCUUACUUGUGUAGGAUAGGUGGGAGGCUUUGAAGCUGGAACGCUAGUUCCAGUGGAGCCGUCCUUGAAAUACCACCCUGGUAAUGUUGAGGUUCUAACUCUGUCCCGUGAUCCGGGACGAGGACCGUGUCUGGUGGGUAGUUUGACUGGGGCGGUCUCCUCCUAAAGAGUAACGGAGGAGUACGAAGGUGCGCUCAGCGUGGUCGGAAAUCACGCGUAGAGUAUAAAGGCAAAAGCGCGCUUAACUGCGAGACCCACAAGUCGAGCAGGUACGAAAGUAGGUCUUAGUGAUCCGGUGGUUCUGUAUGGAAGGGCCAUCGCUCAACGGAUAAAAGGUACUCUGGGGAUAACAGGCUGAUACCGCCCAAGAGUUCAUAUCGACGGCGGUGUUUGGCACCUCGAUGUCGGCUCAUCUCAUCCUGGGGCUGAAGCAGGUCCCAAGGGUAUGGCUGUUCGCCAUUUAAAGAGGUACGCGAGCUGGGUUUAGAACGUCGUGAGACAGUUCGGUCCCUAUCUACCGUGGGCGCUGGAAAUUUGAGAGGAUCUGCUCCUAGUACGAGAGGACCAGAGUGGACGAACCUCUGGUGUACCGGUUGUGACGCCAGUCGCAUCGCCGGGUAGCUAUGUUCGGAAGGGAUAACCGCUGAAAGCAUCUAAGCGGGAAGCCUACCUCAAGAUAAGAUUUCCCUAGGACUUUAUGUCCUCUAAAGAGCCGUUCGAGACUAGGACGUUGAUAGGUUGGAUGUGGAAGCAUAGUGAUAUGUGAAGCUGACCAAUACUAAUUGCUCGUGAGGCUUGACUAUACAACACCCAAGCAGUUG
RNAcentral lists this ribosomal RNA (2354 nucleotides) under Acinetobacter baumannii. Its description in RNAcentral is "partial 23S ribosomal RNA". It matches the Rfam family "Bacterial large subunit ribosomal RNA", at positions 608 to 2925 of the family's 2925-position model. The record is from RNAcentral. Lineage: Bacteria; Pseudomonadati; Pseudomonadota; Gammaproteobacteria; Moraxellales; Moraxellaceae.